RNAcentral lists this ribosomal RNA (1302 nucleotides) under metagenome. RNAcentral describes it as "bacterial LSU rRNA". It matches the Rfam family "Bacterial large subunit ribosomal RNA", at positions 1636 to 2925 of the family's 2925-position model. The record is from RNAcentral.
AUCCGCCCGUACCGUAAACCGACACAGGUAGGCGGGGAGAGAAUCCUAAGGUGCGCGGGAAAACCCUCGUUAAGGAACUCGGCAAAUUGCAUCCGUAACUUCGGAAGAAGGAUGGCCCUGAGUAGGCGAAAAGUCAAGCACUUGGAACCGGAAAGGGCGGCAGAAAAGAGGCCCAAGCAACUGUUUACCAAAAACACAGGUGCCUGCGAAAGCGAAAGCUGACGUAUAGGUGCUGACGCCUGCCCGGUGCUGGAAGGUUAAGGAGAGAGGUUAGCGCAAGCGAAGCUUUGAACUGAAGCCCCAGUGAACGGCGGCCGUAACUAUAACGGUCCUAAGGUAGCGAAAUUCCUUGUCGGGUAAGUUCCGACCCGCACGAAAGGUGUAACGAUUUGGGCACUGUCUCAACGAGGGACCCGGUGAAAUUGAAAUACCUGUGAAGAUGCAGGUUACCCGCGACUGGACAGAAAGACCCCAUGGAGCUUUACUGCAGCUUGAGACGGAAUCUCGGAAGUAGACGCACAGGAUAGGUGGGAGGCUUUGAAACAUACACUUAGGUGGAUGUGGAGCCGCUGUUGGGAUACCACCCUUCUAGUUCUGGGAUUCUAACGCGAGGAGUAACGACCCUGCGGACAAUCUCAGGCAGGCGGUUUGACUGGGGCGGUCGCCUCCGAAAGAGUAACGGAGGCGCCCAAAGGUUCCCUCAGGCCGGACAGAAACCGGCCGACGAGUGCAAAGGCAGAAGGGAGCUUGACUGCGAGACCUACAAGUCGAGCAGAGACGAAAGUCGGGCUUAGUGAUCCGGUGGCCCUGCGUGGAAAGGCCAUCGCUCAACGGAUAAAAGCUACCCUGGGGAUAACAGGCUAAUCUCUCCCAAGAGUCCAUAUCGACGGGGAGGUUUGGCACCUCGAUGUCGGCUCAUCACAUCCUGGGGCUGGAGUAGGUCCCAAGGGUUGGGCUGUUCGCCCAUUAAAGUGGUACGCGAGCUGGGUUCAAAACGUCGUGAGACAGUUUGGUUCAUAUCCAUCGCGGGCGCAAGAAGUUUGAGGGAAGCUGCUCCUAGUACGAGAGGACCGGAGUGGACGGAUCAACGGUGUACCAGUUGUCACGCCAGUGGCACGGCUGGAAAGCCGCAUCCGGAAGGGAUAAACGCUGAAAGCAUCUAAGCGUGAAGCCCACCCCGAGAUGAGACUUCUCAUCAGAAAUGAGUAAGACUCCUUAUAGACUAUGAGGUUGAUAGGCCGCAAGUGGAAGCGCAGCGAUGUGCGGAGCGAUGCGGUACUAAUAAGUCGAGGUCUUAACUUA